RNAcentral lists this ribosomal RNA (756 nucleotides) under uncultured Bacillota bacterium. RNAcentral's name for it is "bacterial SSU rRNA". It matches the Rfam family "Bacterial small subunit ribosomal RNA", at positions 575 to 1337 of the family's 1533-position model. Lineage: Bacteria; Bacillati; Bacillota. The record is from RNAcentral.
GUGGUUACCUAAGCGCAAGGUUUAAUCUUGAGGCUCAACCUCAUUCUGCCUUGCGAACUGGGCUACUUGAGUGCAGGAGGGGAAAGCGGAAUUCCCAGUGUAGCGGUGAAAUGCGUAGAUAUUGGGAAGAACACCGGUGGCGAAGGCGGCUUUCUGGACUGUAACUGACACUGAGGCACGAAAGCGUGGGGAGCAAACAGGAUUAGAUACCCUGGUAGUCCACGCCGUAAACGAUGAGCACUAGUUGUUGGGUACGAAUGUAUUCAGUGACGCAGUUAACGCAAUAAGUGCUCCGCCUGGGGAGUACGGUGGCAACACUAAAACUCAAAGGAAUUGACGGGGACCCGCACAAGCAGCGGAGCAUGUGGUUUAAUUCGAAGCAACGCGAAAAACCUUACCAGGGCUUGACAUCCCUCUGACCGGAUCCUAACCGAUCCUUUCUUCGGACAGAGGUGACAGGUGGUGCAUGGUUGUCGUCAGCUCGUGUCGUGAGAUGUUGGGUUAAGUCCCGCAACGAGCGCAACCCUUGUCGUCAGUUACUAACAUUAAGUUGAGGACUCUGACGAGACUGCCGAGGUCAACUCGGAGGAAGGUGGGGAUGACGUCAAAUCAUCAUGCCCCUUAUGUUCUGGGCUACACACGUGCUACAAUGGUCGGUACAAUGAGAGGCAAUACAGUGAUGUGGAGCAAAUCACCAAAACCGAUCCCAGUUCGGAUUGCAGGCUGCAACUCGCCUGCAUGAAGUCGGAGUUGCUA